AGAGAAUUCAUCAGCUUCAAAAGGACUCCUCCCUCAUCAAACCUCCUUUCUCCCAAGUUCAGUUUCUUCUAGACUUCUUCUUCUUCAAAAGUUCAAAACAAGAUCACAGCUCCCUCAAGCCCUUUAAUCCCUUAUCCUCUUCUCUUUUAAAUCCCUCAACUUCCUCAAAUCUACAAGCAAGGUAAGCUAAGGUUCGGUGAUUUUUUUUAUUUGGGUCUGAGCAUCGGUUGAUUUUGUUUCGACAGGCCUCUCCUCUUCUCGAUUCCUUUUCGAAUCCAGGGCUUCGGGUUUGUUUGUGUUCAAGUUGAUUGUUGUGGAUUCUUCUUUCCCCAAAGGUCACCUUCUUCAUUUCGGGAACCGAAGUUCUCCCCUGCUGUUCGGGAAUUUUGAAUUUGCUCUUUGUGAUCUCCCCUUUUGAUUCUCAGUUCUUCAUUUGCUCACAGAUUAGCCAUGUCGACGAGGAGAUCACGCUUUUUGAGGAGUCGCUCAGCCACUCAAUCACCUGAGAGGGAGCCUCUGUGUUUCGC
Asparagus officinalis (garden asparagus) is the source of this 527-nucleotide long non-coding RNA. RefSeq lists it as uncharacterized. The transcript has 4 exons. NCBI's taxonomy places the organism in Eukaryota, Viridiplantae, Streptophyta, Magnoliopsida, Asparagales, Asparagaceae. The record is from RefSeq and is a predicted model, not a curated record.